UCCCCCGUAGGUUAAUUGGCAGACCGCCGGUCUCUGGAAUCGGAAGUUUUGGUUCAAGUCCAGACGGGGGAGC
This 73-nucleotide transfer RNA is filed under the name Streptomyces phage Frankenweenie. RNAcentral's name for it is "tRNA-Gln". It matches the Rfam family "tRNA". Rfam says of the family: Transfer RNA (tRNA) molecules are approximately 80 nucleotides in length. Lineage: Duplodnaviria; Heunggongvirae; Uroviricota; Caudoviricetes. The record is from RNAcentral.